Molecule: ribosomal RNA, 478 nt
Filed under: uncultured bacterium
Lineage: Bacteria
Description: partial 16S ribosomal RNA
Rfam family: Bacterial small subunit ribosomal RNA
Source: RNAcentral
GAUGAACGCUGGCGGCGUGCUUAACACAUGCAAGUCGAACGAGAAGUGGAGACGGAAACCUUCGGGCGGAAGACUUUACUUCGAGUGGCGGACGGGUGAGUAACGCGUGGGUAACCUGCCUCAUACAGGGGGAUAACAGUUGGAAACGACUGUUAAUACCGCAUAAGACCACAGCACCGCAUGGUGCGGGGGUAAAAACUCCGGUGGUAUGAGAUGGACCCGCGUUCGAUUAGCCAGUUGGCGGGGUAACGGCCCACCAAAGCGACGAUCGAUAGCCGAUCUGAGAGGAUGACCGGCCACAUUGGGACUGAGACACGGCCCAAACUCCUACGGGAGGCAGCAGUGGGGAAUAUUGCACAAUGGGGGAAACCCUGAUGCAGCGACGCCGCGUGAGUGAAGAAGUAUUUCGGUAUGUAAAGCUCUAUCAGCAGGGAAGAAAAUGACAGUACCUGAGGAAGAAGCCCCGGCUAACUACGUG